GAGCCGAAAGGCAGGCGUCUAGGCUGUGGUUCAUGACUGGGGUGAAGUCGUAACAAGGUAACUGUACCGGAAGGUGCGGUUGGAUCACCUCCUUU
Molecule: ribosomal RNA, 95 nt
Filed under: Deinococcus radiopugnans ATCC 19172
Lineage: Bacteria; Thermotogati; Deinococcota; Deinococci; Deinococcales; Deinococcaceae
Description: partial 16S ribosomal RNA
Rfam family: Bacterial small subunit ribosomal RNA
Source: RNAcentral